GGCCUCCUUGAGCUGUGGUGGGCUCCACCCAGUUGGAGCUUCCCAGCUGCUUUGUUUACCUAAUCAAGCCUGGGCAAUGGCGGGCGGCCCUCCUCCAGCCUCGCGGCCGCCUUGCAGUUUGAUCUCAGACUGCUGUGCUAGCAAUCAGCGAGACUCCAUGGGCAUAGGACCCUCCGAGCCAGGUGCCGGAUAUAAUCUGGUGGUGCGCCGUUUUUUAAGCCGGUCCGAAAAGCCCAAUAUUCGGGUGGGAGUGACCCGAUUUUCCAGGUAUGUCCGUCACCCCUUUCUUUGACUGGGAAAGGGAACUCCCUGACCCCUUGCGCUUCCUGAGUGAGGCAGUGCCUCGCCCUGCUUCGGCUCGCGCACGGUGAGCGCACCCACUGACCUGCGCCCACUGUCUGGCCCUCCCUAGUGAGAUGAACCCGGUACCUCAGAUGGAAAUGCAGAAAUCACCCGUCUUCUGCGUCGCUCACGCUGGGAGCUGUAGACCGGAGCUGUUCCUAUUCGGCCAUCCUACCUUUCUUCUUAAAGCAUCAGCUGGAGUACCCUAUGCCUUGAAACACAGCUGUAAUCACCUUGAAUUCCCUUUAUGUGGAAAAUCCAUUGUUUUCUCUAUAAAGUCUGUGAAUUCCCAAAGGCCUCUGAGCCCAAGCCAAGCCAUCGCAUCCCCUGUGACUUGCACGUAUACGCCCAGAUGGCCUGAAGUAACUGAAGAAUCACAAAAGAAGUGAAUAUGACCUGCCCCACCUUAACUGAUGACAUUCCACCACAAAAGAAGUGUAAAUGGCCAUUCCUUGCCUCAAGAGAUGACAUUACCUUGGGAAAGUCCUUUUCCUGGCUCAUCCUGGC
Molecule: long non-coding RNA, 849 nt
Filed under: Homo sapiens (human)
Lineage: Eukaryota; Metazoa; Chordata; Mammalia; Primates; Hominidae
Description: HSALNT0142145
Source: RNAcentral